UUUGGAUCUGAUCAGUCAUCAAGAUUUUACUCACUGCUGUUGAGUCAGUGUCCUCCACGAAGUUGGACUGGUGGACAGCGCAUCUUGAUUUUAAGACUGGACUGACUGAGUUGGAUACAAUGGCUGCUUCUUGGACUUUAUAACCUCUCCUCCGUAUCUGGAUUGUCAAGCAGCCAUAAACACAGCAUGUUGCCAGAAAUAAACAAGACAUCACGACCGGAGCCCUUCCCUCACCCUCACAGACUCCAAACAGAGGGAAACCGGCUUGGAACAAACAGACCCUGCUCACAGAAGUUCGGCUCUGGUGUAGGGACUUUGCCUCAGCUUGAUCCACCCGUGGUCCAGGUGGUGGUCAGUAAUGCCAAAAACCAGCACCCGCAGUCGGACAACAUCUUGCCCCAAAUUGCCAACAAGGGGGGGCACAACAACUUCCAGACACACCCAGUGAGUUUCUCAUACCAUUACAUGUGUAUUAUUAGCAACUUAUGGAAUCCAACAGUAGCAGCUACAUUGCAGCC
This 518-nucleotide long non-coding RNA is filed under the name Echeneis naucrates (live sharksucker). RNAcentral describes it as "lncRNA (ENSENLG00000004694.1)". Lineage: Eukaryota; Metazoa; Chordata; Actinopteri; Carangiformes; Echeneidae. The record is from RNAcentral.